CCUAGAGUUGCGGCUUUGCCUGCCAUCUCUUACCCAUGUCUUUUGAGUACCUUCGUUUCCUCGGCGGGUCCGCCUGCCGACUGGACAAUUUAAACCAUUUGGCAGUUGCAAUCAGCGUCUGAAAAAACUUAAUAGUUA
RNAcentral lists this unclassified non-coding RNA (138 nucleotides) under soil metagenome. RNAcentral's name for it is "partial internal transcribed spacer 1". The record is from RNAcentral.